AGUGACUUGGUGCCUGGAUGACAAAAUAUGUCCUGCCUCUGUCUCAGUGGGAUCACACUUACAGAAGAUCCCUUACUUUGAAUUUGACAAGCUGAGAACUUAGGUCCAGUAUCUUCACAACAAGAACAUUCCCGCCAUCUUCAAGUUCAGUUACUGAUCUUACUCCUCAAGCAUGCAAAAGUCUUACUCUUAAAGUGUAAUACUGCCCUAGAUGUCGUAUAACAGUCUUGCAAAUUGUCACACAAAUGCAAUACAGUACAUUCUGGUCUAGUAA
Micropterus salmoides (largemouth bass) is the source of this 274-nucleotide long non-coding RNA. RefSeq lists it as uncharacterized. NCBI's taxonomy places the organism in Eukaryota, Metazoa, Chordata, Actinopteri, Centrarchiformes, Centrarchidae. The transcript is spliced from 2 exons. The record is from RefSeq and is a predicted model, not a curated record.